AACGAACGCUGGCGGCAUGCCUAACACAUGCAAGUCGAACGAGACCUUCGGGUCUAUUGGCGCACGGGUGCGUAACGCGUGGGAACCUGCCCUUAGGUUCGGAAUAACUCCCCGAAAGGGGUGCUAAUACCGGAUAAUGUCUUCGGACCAAAGAUUUAUCGCCUUUGGAUGGGCCCGCGUUGGAUUAGCUAGUUGGUAGGGUAAAAGCCUACCAAGGCGACGAUCCAUAGCUGGUCUGAGAGGAUGAUCAGCCACACUGGGACUGAGACACGGCCCCGACUCCUACGGGAGGCAGCAGUGGGGAAUAUUGGACCAUGGGCGAAAGCCUGAUCCAGCAAUGCCGCGUGAGUGAUGAAGGCCUUAGGGUUGUAAAGCUCUUUUACCCGGGAUGAUAAUGACAGUACCGGGAGAAUAAGCUCCGGCUAACUCCGUG
RNAcentral lists this ribosomal RNA (433 nucleotides) under uncultured bacterium. RNAcentral's name for it is "partial 16S ribosomal RNA". It matches the Rfam family "Bacterial small subunit ribosomal RNA", at positions 29 to 507 of the family's 1533-position model. The record is from RNAcentral.